Molecule: unclassified non-coding RNA, 447 nt
Filed under: uncultured Glomus
Lineage: Eukaryota; Fungi; Glomeromycota; Glomeromycetes; Glomerales; Glomeraceae
Description: SSU rRNA
Rfam family: Eukaryotic small subunit ribosomal RNA
Source: RNAcentral
AGCAGCCGCGGUAAUUCCAGCUCCAAUAGCGUAUAUUAAAGUUGUUGCAGUUAAAAAGCUCGUAGUUGAAUUUCGGGGUCAAUAAGUUGGUCGUGCCAAUGGUAUGCACUGGCUUUAUUGAUUCCUACCUCUUGACGAACUGUGAUGCCAUUAAUUUGGUGUCGCAAGGAAUCAGGACUGUUACCUUGAAAAAUUAGAGUGUUUAAAGCAGGCUUACGCUUGAAUACAUUAGCAUGGAAUAAUGAAAUAGGACGUUUGAACCUAUUUUGUUGGUUUUUAGGAUCGACGUAAUGAUUAAUAGGGAUAGUUGGGGGCAUUAGUGUUCAAUUGUCAGAGGUGAAAUUCUUGGAUUUAUUGAAGACUAACUACUGCGAAAGCAUUUGCCAAGGAUGUUUUCAUUAAUCAAGAACGAAAGUUAGGGAUCGAAGACGAUCAGAUACCAUCGUA